UGAGGAAUAUUGGACAAUGGAGGAAACUCUGAUCCAGCCAUGCCGCGUGAAGGAAGUAGGCCCUAUGGGUCGUGAACUUCUUUUGUCGCAGAGCAAUAAGGGCCACGCGUGGUCCGAUGAGAGUAUGCGACGAAUAAGCAUCGGCUAACUCCGUGCCAGCAGCCGCGGUAAUACGGGGGAUGCGAGCGUUAUCCGGAUUUAUUGGGUUUAAAGGGUGCGUAGGCUGCUCGACAAGUCGGCGGUGAAACCCCGGGGCUCAACCCCGGGCCUGCCGUCGAAACUGCCGAGCUUGAGUUCGGAUGCCGUGGGAGGAAUGAGUGGUGUAGCGGUGAAAUGCAUAGAUAUCACUCAGAACACCGAUUGCGAAGGCAUCUCACGAAUCCGAAACUGACGCUGAGGCACGAAAGCGUGGGGAUCAAACA
Molecule: ribosomal RNA, 422 nt
Filed under: uncultured prokaryote
Description: bacterial SSU rRNA
Rfam family: Bacterial small subunit ribosomal RNA
Source: RNAcentral